UUUCACCACCUUUCUAUCCUCCCUGUUACCAGCAAAAAGAAACACUGACAUUGGUGUUCUUUUCUCCAGGUGGCUUACAUCCUCUAAAGCAACAUCCAAAUCUGUGUGCCAAUGACUUGAGCCAGAGGACCCAGGGAGAAAGUGGCCACCUUGAUCACGGUGUGCAGUCAUAGCCCCAUUUGCCUGCCCCUUGCCAGCCAGGAGAGGAGCUUCACAGUUAAAUCCAAAUUAGGCCCCUCUGUUCUGCAGAUCUGGAAACAUUCAUGGUCCUGGUAAAAUUCAUCAUCUGCACAUUUGAAAAUUAGGAGAACAUCUUUUCAAUUUCUGUAAUCAUAGAGAACUUGUCUGAACAGGGCAAGAAGAGGAAGUCUGCUUUCGAUUUCAGUCAUCUGGAAACAUUAGAGCUCCAAGCUAAGAUCUCUCCAAUUUUCUCAUAGGGUAACCCCAGUACCAGCAUAUAGGAAGUACCUAGUGAGUGUUGAUUGGAAGAGAGGAUGAAGAAUAAUUUCAUUUCAGUUAUUAUCUCUCCACUUGAAAUUGCUACCUGUGAUUUGAAGAGGAUACGUUGCACCAUCAACCAUCAAAACAUCUCUUGGCCCUCCCUGGUGGCGCAGCCGGUUAAAGCACAGCACUGAGAAUCUAAAGCCGUUUCCGCAUGAGUUCGA
This is a long non-coding RNA of Condylura cristata (star-nosed mole), 665 nucleotides long. RefSeq lists it as uncharacterized. The transcript is spliced from 6 exons. The record is from RefSeq and is a predicted model, not a curated record. NCBI's taxonomy places the organism in Eukaryota, Metazoa, Chordata, Mammalia, Eulipotyphla, Talpidae.